Molecule: ribosomal RNA, 2904 nt
Filed under: Salmonella enterica subsp. enterica serovar Newport
Lineage: Bacteria; Pseudomonadati; Pseudomonadota; Gammaproteobacteria; Enterobacterales; Enterobacteriaceae
Description: 23S ribosomal RNA
Rfam family: Bacterial large subunit ribosomal RNA
Source: RNAcentral
GGUUAAGCGACUAAGCGUACACGGUGGAUGCCCUGGCAGUCAGAGGCGAUGAAGGACGUGCUAAUCUGCGAUAAGCGCCGGUAAGGUGAUAUGAACCGUUAUAACCGGCGAUUUCCGAAUGGGGAACCCAGUGUGAUUCGUCACACUAUCAUUAACUGAAUCCAUAGGUUAAUGAGGCGAACCGGGGGAACUGAAACAUCUAAGUACCCCGAGGAAAAGAAAUCAACCGAGAUUCCCCCAGUAGCGGCGAGCGAACGGGGAGGAGCCCAGAGCCUGAAUCAGCAUGUGUGUUAGUGGAAGCGUCUGGAAAGGCGCGCGAUACAGGGUGACAGCCCCGUACACAAAAGCGCAUGUGCUGUGAGCUCGAUGAGUAGGGCGGGACACGUGGUAUCCUGUCUGAAUAUGGGGGGACCAUCCUCCAAGGCUAAAUACUCCUGACUGACCGAUAGUGAACCAGUACCGUGAGGGAAAGGCGAAAAGAACCCCGGCGAGGGGAGUGAAAAAGAACCUGAAACCGUGUACGUACAAGCAGUGGGAGCACAGGUUUACCUGUGUGACUGCGUACCUUUUGUAUAAUGGGUCAGCGACUUAUAUUCUGUAGCAAGGUUAACCGAAUAGGGGAGCCGGAGGGAAACCGAGUCUUAAUUGGGCGUUAAGUUGCAGGGUAUAGACCCGAAACCCGGUGAUCUAGCCAUGGGCAGGUUGAAGGUUGGGUAACACUAACUGGAGGACCGAACCGACUAAUGUUGAAAAAUUAGCGGAUGACCUGUGGCUGGGGGUGAAAGGCCAAUCAAACCGGGAGAUAGCUGGUUCUCCCCGAAAGCUAUUUAGGUAGCGCCUCGUGAACUCAUCUCCGGGGGUAGAGCACUGUUUCGGCUAGGGGGCCAUCCCGGCUUACCAACCCGAUGCAAACUGCGAAUACCGGAGAAUGUUAUCACGGGAGACACACGGCGGGUGCUAACGUCCGUCGUGAAGAGGGAAACAACCCAGACCGCCAGCUAAGGUCCCAAAGUCAUGGUUAAGUGGGAAACGAUGUGGGAAGGCCCAGACAGCCAGGAUGUUGGCUUAGAAGCAGCCAUCAUUUAAAGAAAGCGUAAUAGCUCACUGGUCGAGUCGUCGGCCUGCGCGGAAGAUGUAACGGGGCUAAACCAUGCACCGAAGCUGCGGCAGCGACACUGUGUGUUGUUGGGUAGGGGAGCGUUCUGUAAGCCUGUGAAGGUGGCCUGUGAGGGUUGCUGGAGGUAUCAGAAGUGCGAAUGCUGACAUAAGUAACGAUAAAGCGGGUGAAAAGCCCGCUCGCCGGAAGACCAAGGGUUCCUGUCCAACGUUAAUCGGGGCAGGGUGAGUCGACCCCUAAGGCGAGGCCGAAAGGCGUAGUCGAUGGGAAACAGGUUAAUAUUCCUGUACUUGGUGUUACUGCGAAGGGGGGACGGAGAAGGCUAUGUUGGCCGGGCGACGGUUGUCCCGGUUUAAGCGUGUAGGCUGGUUUUCCAGGCAAAUCCGGAAAAUCAAGGCUGAGGCGUGAUGACGAGGCACUACGGUGCUGAAGCAACAAAUGCCCUGCUUCCAGGAAAAGCCUCUAAGCAUCAGGUAACAUCAAAUCGUACCCCAAACCGACACAGGUGGUCAGGUAGAGAAUACCAAGGCGCUUGAGAGAACUCGGGUGAAGGAACUAGGCAAAAUGGUGCCGUAACUUCGGGAGAAGGCACGCUGACACGUAGGUGAAGUGAUUUACUCAUGGAGCUGAAGUCAGUCGAAGAUACCAGCUGGCUGCAACUGUUUAUUAAAAACACAGCACUGUGCAAACACGAAAGUGGACGUAUACGGUGUGACGCCUGCCCGGUGCCGGAAGGUUAAUUGAUGGGGUCAGCGCAAGCGAAGCUCCUGAUCGAAGCCCCGGUAAACGGCGGCCGUAACUAUAACGGUCCUAAGGUAGCGAAAUUCCUUGUCGGGUAAGUUCCGACCUGCACGAAUGGCGUAAUGAUGGCCAGGCUGUCUCCACCCGAGACUCAGUGAAAUUGAACUCGCUGUGAAGAUGCAGUGUACCCGCGGCAAGACGGAAAGACCCCGUGAACCUUUACUAUAGCUUGACACUGAACAUUGAGCCUUGAUGUGUAGGAUAGGUGGGAGGCUUUGAAGCGUGGACGCCAGUCUGCGUGGAGCCGACCUUGAAAUACCACCCUUUAAUGUUUGAUGUUCUAACGUGGACCCGUAAUCCGGGUUGCGGACAGUGUCUGGUGGGUAGUUUGACUGGGGCGGUCUCCUCCUAAAGAGUAACGGAGGAGCACGAAGGUUGGCUAAUCCUGGUCGGACAUCAGGAGGUUAGUGCAAUGGCAUAAGCCAGCUUGACUGCGAGCGUGACGGCGCGAGCAGGUGCGAAAGCAGGUCAUAGUGAUCCGGUGGUUCUGAAUGGAAGGGCCAUCGCUCAACGGAUAAAAGGUACUCCGGGGAUAACAGGCUGAUACCGCCCAAGAGUUCAUAUCGACGGCGGUGUUUGGCACCUCGAUGUCGGCUCAUCACAUCCUGGGGCUGAAGUAGGUCCCAAGGGUAUGGCUGUUCGCCAUUUAAAGUGGUACGCGAGCUGGGUUUAGAACGUCGUGAGACAGUUCGGUCCCUAUCUGCCGUGGGCGCUGGAGAACUGAGGGGGCUGCUCCUAGUACGAGAGGACCGGAGUGGACGCAUCACUGGUGUUCGGGUUGUCAUGCCAAUGGCACUGCCCGGUAGCUAAAUGCGGAAGAGAUAAGUGCUGAAAGCAUCUAAGCACGAAACUUGCCCCGAGAUGAGUUCUCCCUGAGACUUAGAGUCUCCUGAAGGAACGUUGAAGACGACGACGUUGAUAGGCCGGGUGUAAGCGCAGCGAUGCGUUGAGCUAACCGGUACUAAUGAACCGUGAGGCUUAACCUU